UCGGUAGUUUACAAUAGUGACGUAAGGAGGACACAAAUUACUAGCAGAAAUAAGUCAAGAGGGUUUUCAUGUUCUCACCGGGAUAGUUAAUUAAUGGAUCCUACUCCGACCGCGACCGUACCACCAUUUAAACAUUUAAAUGUACCUGGUACACAGUAGGUUUGAUUACGUCACACCUGAAUUGAUUACACAGUUUGUCACGAUAUGGGGAGUAUUUGUACUGAAAAAUACAUUUUAUAUUGCGUUUAAUCAUCUCCCAACGAAUGCGCGAUCAUUGUAAUCCUAGUCCAGGUUAAAUUAAUUGUAAACAUCCAUUGAGUAUUAGAUUACAUUAUAUGUAGGGGUACUGUAAUGUAUUUACGUUACUUUGGUUGUAAAUAUAAUCCAUUAUUUAUCUGAAAUUAAUAUUUAAUGAUAACUCUUCUUCUUCUUUUCCUUUCGGCUUUUCCCUUCAGGGGUCGCCACAGCAAAUCAAUUGCCUCCAUCUAACCCUGUCUUCUGCAUCCUCUUCUCUCACACCAACUACCUUCAUGUCCUCUUUCACUACAUCCAUAAACCUCCUCUUUGGUUUUCCUCUAGGCCUCCUGCCUGGCAGUUCCAAACUCAGCAUCCUUCUACCUACAGUAUAUAUUCCCUAUCUCUCCUCUGGACAUGUCCAAACCAUCUCAGUCUGGCCUCUCUGACUUUAUCUCCAAAACCUCUAACAUGUGCUGUCCCUCUGAUGUACUCAUUCCUGAUCCUGUCCUCUGCUCUGUCUUUGUCCUCUUCAUGUUCCUCAGCACCAGAGUCAUCCUCCACACCACCAUCCUAUGCUGUUAGGCUACACUAUGGCCUACCACUACUUUACAGUCACUGAUCUCCUUCAGAUGACAGCGUCUACACAAGAUGUAGUCUACCUGUGUGCUCCCUAUGUUCCUGUGGUGGACCCGAUGGCCCAGAGGUUUGGGGACGUCACCGGCUUGGAUGUGUCCACAGCAGAGCAGCUGCAGAAAGUGGCCAGAGGCAAACUUCAACUUGCAGAUGAGCGACGUGCAGGCAGGGGGCGCCACAGUCUUCACGGAUGCAGGAGCUGCUGCAUCCUUUGACAGGCUUACCUCAUGAGGUGCAGUCUAAUGACAUCCAGUCAGAACUGUAUCCAAAAAUUGUGGCUGGAACUAAUUGUCAAAAUAUGACAAACACCUCCAGUAUUUUGUCACGCACCACAGUAAACCGUGUACCUAAUGAAGUGUCCAUGUUGGUUUCCUGUCUGAGUCACCAAGGGACGGCAGUGUUCUGGUACAAUCUUCACCCCAGCGGAGAGGGAGACUAUCGGACUAGACACGCCUCCUGUCCCGUCCUCGUGGGAAGAAAGUGGGUGGCCAACAUGUGGCUGCAUGAACGAGGGCAAGAGUUCAGGCGGCGUUGUCCUCUCCGAAGGUCCAAGUGAGCACGUAUCAACUGGUUUACAAAUUAAACCACGAGGAAUCCACUUUGUACGCUUUGUAUCAGUGUGUUACCGUGACCACCGCCAUCUGUUGUGCGGCUAAAACAAACGGUUAGCUGUGAUCACAUGUUUUGGAGACUCGCUGCUUGUUUUUCUCAUUAAUCGAUUAUCGGAGCUUUUGCGGAUGAUCUUUUGGUUGACUUAAAAAAAAGAAAACAAGUCUGCCUUUGGGUUAUUUUGGAUCAGCUCCACCCCUUCUUUUUCUUCCGUGAGUGCCUGCGUCCGCCUGUCCCAGUAUGUGAGAACAUGUCCAUCUGUCCAUGAUAGUGUGGCAAUACAGACACGGGACAUGGACUAGACAGACUACAGUACAGUACACUAAGUCCCCAACUUACGAAACAGUUGGUUUUAGACGACCGUUCUUAAGUGGAAUUGUUCUUAAGUAGUGGAAAAGUAAUAUUAGCAAUGAUAUAGGUACUACAUGUACGUGUAUACAUAUACAGUAUAUGUGUAUGUAUGUAAAUAUGAGUUUGGAUGCAGUGGUAAUAUUAAACCAGGAUAAUGAAUGAAAAUAACAAUAAUAAAAGUGAUAUAAUAAAACGUAAUGAUAAAUGUUAUUUACAUUUGAAGAGGAGUGGUCGAGCAUACGUCGUUGUGGAGGAGGAGGAGGAGUUAUUGAAAAAAAGGACAAAUGGUGGUGGUGGUUAGACUCUUCUAAAAGAGGUAGUGUUCUGUGGGUGCAGGCCUAUUAACUCUUCAUAAACUUUAAUCACACGCUCUGUCCGGGUUGUAUAAUUUAGCUUUCCAUUUAGCUUUACACUGUAUCUCCCCAGUCUAACUCUUCCUGUGUUGGUCUCGUUAGCUCUAAGGCUGCAUUAGCAGUGUCACAGUGCCCUCUACCGGUCAAGCAUGUACAGUAGCAGUAGAAAUACUGAUUGAGCGACUACAAGGCAAAAUUAAAUAAAAUAUAGACCAGUCGGCUUGUGUUCGUAUCCGUGAAUGUUCGCUAGUCGGGUGUUCGUAAGUUAGGGACCUAGUGUAAUCUCUUGUUAAUUGUGUUAAUUGGUUCGUGAAUUCCCACAAAGUAGGAUUCCUUAUUCAUAAAUUGAAUAUUUUUGUAGCGCAUAGAGCAUAGAAAAUCUAGUUAUGGGCUUCUAAAUAUGGUUUUUGACAUUAUUAGAGCCCUCUAGACAUGACAUAACACCCCUAUACACACCUAUUACCCAAUACAAUAGACAUCAUAAGAGAAAAUAAAACAUUUAAGACAUAAAUAAGACUCCUGCUCACGUGUGUUGCUGUAAAUGUGUUGCGGUGCUGGGAGCUGAGUGGGUGCGGACAGGAAGUGAUGUCAGGGGUGUCCAAACUUUUACCACUGAGGGCCACAUAGUGAAAAAUGAAAGGAUGCAACUUUGCCACUUUGAUAUUUUGUAAAGCAACACAUGUAGAUAAGCUAGCAAGUUAUUUGUAUUUCAAGACCAAACUGCAUCUCAGCUUUGUCUUGUACGUGAAAAAGCAUAUUAACAUCAACUUCACUCUCUACU
Dunckerocampus dactyliophorus (ringed pipefish) is the source of this 2964-nucleotide long non-coding RNA. RefSeq lists it as uncharacterized. Lineage: Eukaryota; Metazoa; Chordata; Actinopteri; Syngnathiformes; Syngnathidae. The record is from RefSeq and is a predicted model, not a curated record. The transcript is spliced from 3 exons.